This 119-nucleotide ribosomal RNA is filed under the name Pteropus alecto (black flying fox). Lineage: Eukaryota; Metazoa; Chordata; Mammalia; Chiroptera; Pteropodidae. The record is from RNAcentral.
GUCUACAUCCAUGCCACCUUGAACAAGCCCGAUCUUGUCUGAUCUCGGAAGCUAAGCAGGAUCGGGCCUGGUUAGUACUUGGAUGGGAGACCAUGUAGGAAGACAAGGUGCUGUAGGUG